AGAUUGAACGCUGGCGGCAGGCCUAGCACAUGCAAGUCGAGCGGCAGCACGGGUACUUGUACCUGGUGGCGAGCGGCGGACGGGUGAGUAAUGCCUAGGAAUCUGCCUGAUAGUGGGGGAUAACGUUCGGAAACGGACGCUAAUACCGCAUACGUCCUACGGGAGAAAGUGGGGGAUCUUCGGACCUCACGCUAUCAGAUGAGCCUAGGUCGGAUUAGCUAGUUGGUAGGGUAAAGGCCUACCAAGGCUACGAUCCGUAACUGGUCUGAGAGGAUGAUCAGUCACACUGGAACUGAGACACGGUCCAGACUCCUACGGGAGGCAGCAGUGGGGAAUAUUGGACAAUGGGCGAAAGCCUGAUCCAGCCAUGCCGCGUGUGUGAAGAAGUCUUCGGAUUGUAAAGCACUUUAAGUGGAGGAAGGCACUAACCUAAUACGUUAGUGUUUUGACGUUACGACAGAAUAAGCACCGGCUAACUCUGUGUCCAGCAGCCCGUA
RNAcentral lists this ribosomal RNA (497 nucleotides) under uncultured soil bacterium. RNAcentral's name for it is "bacterial SSU rRNA". It matches the Rfam family "Bacterial small subunit ribosomal RNA", at positions 26 to 522 of the family's 1533-position model. The record is from RNAcentral.